UACGUAGGGGGCAAGCGUUGUCCGGAUUUAUUGGGCGUAAAGAGCGUGUAGGCGGCCAGACAGGUCCGUUGUGAAAACUCGAGGCUCAACCUCGAGAUGUCGAUGGAAACCGUCUGGCUAGAGUCCGGAAGAGGAGUGUGGAAUUCCUGGUGUAGCGGUGAAAUGCGCAGAUAUCAGGAAGAACACCUAUGGCGAAGGCAGCACUCUGGGACGGUACUGACGCUGAGGGACGAAAGCUAGGGGAGCGAAUGGG
This 253-nucleotide ribosomal RNA is filed under the name uncultured bacterium. RNAcentral describes it as "partial 16S ribosomal RNA". It matches the Rfam family "Bacterial small subunit ribosomal RNA", at positions 524 to 776 of the family's 1533-position model. The record is from RNAcentral.